This 3192-nucleotide long non-coding RNA is filed under the name Malus domestica (apple). Its description in RNAcentral is "long non-coding RNA (MDOM_LNC010066)". The record is from RNAcentral. Lineage: Eukaryota; Viridiplantae; Streptophyta; Magnoliopsida; Rosales; Rosaceae.
CUAGCUGGUCUUAGCGAAUCCCCUCGCAAAGCAUAGGAUUGCUAAGACCGUCAUUCGUGUUCAUCUGUUUCGCUUCAUCAAGUGCCUUCUCGAUCUGACUACACAGCUCAGCUUUACGUUUCACAAUCUGCGUAUCUUCCAAAGGCACUACCUUAGGCUCAUCGACCUCGAUUCCAGACGGCAAGGCCUUCGGGUGCGACUUUACCUCUGCUCUGGAUCUAAUCCAACGCCAAGUUUUGAUACGGCAACAACAAGAUCUCCAUGACUUGAAGAAUGAAGCUAACUCAGUGAAUCUAAAAUGGAGCUGACGAAGAAGAUCGUACCUUUGAAGCGGAACACAGCGUCUCCGAGUGUUGUUAAAAAGGUGAGACUUUAAGAUUUCUUACAAAAUCAUUAAUUCUCAAUGAUUAAUUGGGGUUUUAAAUCCUUUUAAACUGUUUUGAUUAGUUUUAGUUUGUAGGUUUCCUAUUCUUUGAUCGAUGGUGUUUUUACUUUUCUGGGUUUUCAAUUUUGUGCAGUGGCUAUUCAUCUGAGAAUUUUGCAGUGGCUAUUCGUCUAGGUUUUCAAUUGUGUGCAGUGGCUAUUCAAUUUUGUGGGUUUCCUGUUCUACUGGUGAUGCUCCUGUACUCAAGCAAGCCAAAUUCAAGUUUUGCCUUUUGUGGUUACAUACUUACAGUAUGUAUAUGAAUCUUGCAAUUAUCUUGCUACUUAGAAUUCGAACAAGUUCAGAAUUUUGAUUGUGAUUGAUGGAGCUGUGUGAAAAUAUUAGCCCUCUAAAAUUUGAUUAUAUUCUUCAGAUGGUUGGCUGUUCAUUCUGCAGAUCCUAAAAAAAAAAUUUGUUUAUUUGUAGUUUUGAAUCAUUGGGGGUAAUUGGAAUUAAUUUGGAAGGCUAGGAAUUGAACUAGAACUAGAAGUUAGUCUAGGUUCUUAGUCCGACACUAUACCAAACGCUUCACUAAGUUAAUCCAGUUUAGUCUAGUCUAAGCUAGUCAAGCUUAGUCCCUAAAGCUAGUCUAGUCCGAGAUAGUCUGAUGCAACAAAUGCACCCUAGUAAUACUAGUGCAUUGUUAUAGUACUUGUGAGCCAUUUAUCCAAGUUUCCUUGAACGUGCUUGUUACUUGUUUGAUUUUCAUAUAAAUAGCAUCAGCAUAGCACACAUGACUAAGAUGACUUGUCGUGAGGGUGGUGGGUUAGGAUUAGCUAAUUUGGUAAUCCAAUUUCCGGUUGCCUAAUUGACUAAUAGUCUAAUAAUUAAAGCCAAUGUCGUAAGUGCGUUCAUUGUUACUUAUUAGGAUGGGUUAUUUUGGUUAUGUUAAAAAAUAGUCGGUCAAUUUAAUAAAUAGUGUAGUACUUGUGUCAGUUUAAUAAAUAGUGUAGUACCCAUGUUAGUUUCAUAAAUAGUCAAUCAAUUUAAUAAAAAUAGUGAGUGCCUGUGUCAGUUUCAUAAAUAGUGUAGUACAUGUGUCAGUUUCAUAAAUUGUCAAUCAGUUUAAUAAAUAAUGUUGUACCCAUAUCAAUUUCAUAUAUAGUUAGUAAAUUUAAUAAAUAGUGUAGUACCCGUGUCAAUUUCAUAAAUAGUGAGCUUAAUAAAUAGUGUAGUACAUGUGUCAGUUUCAUAAAUAGCCCGUCAGUUAAAUAAAUAGUGUAGUACCCGUAUCAGUUUCAUAAAUAGUGAGUUUAACAAAUAGUGUAAUACCCACAUUAGUUUCAUAAAUAGUCAGUUUAAGAAAUAGUGAUAGUACUAGUACUCAGUUUAAGAAAUAGUGAUGGUAUCUGUGUUUAGUUUCAAAAAAUAGUAAGUAUUCAGUUUAAGAAAUAUUGUAGUAUCCGUAUUUAAUUUCAGAAAUAAUCUGUUUAAGAAAUAGUGUAGUAUACAUUUAUAGUUUCAGAAAUAGUACCUGUGUCCAGUUUUAGACAUAACCAUUUAAAAAAAAAAGAGUUUAAUGAAAUGGGUUUGAACUAAUUUUAUUUUAACCAAAAAAUAUCCUAUAAUCUUUUUUAAUAUAAAAGGCUUGAAAUUUAAUAAACAGGACAAAAUACAAUAUAACAAAAACAAAAACUAAAGCCUUAUAGGUAGGAAGUAAGCCCACAUGCAAAACUAAUUUUUUUUAUUCCAACCAGUACCCCUGACGGAAACUCCACUCCGUCAGUCCAAUUCCAUUAGAAAAUUGAAUUUUCCCAGGUUUGAACUGAGUGAAAGGUUUGUCGGGCCACACUCCCAUUAAAUAUUAAUUUGGUUGUGUCUGUAUCUGCAUGUCCAUGAGUUUUAGCCUCCAACUCUCUUUUCCCAGUAUUUUAGCCAAUAAGAUGUGUCACAUGCCCCACCGCCUUCUCUAAUCUUAAAAAUUAGGGUUCUUUAGAAAAUGGCCCUUGAAACUCUUAUUUUCCAAACAAAAACCCACAUAAUAUUAAAUAUCCAAAUAAAACCCAAAUUUCAAAUAGAGUACCAUGUAGACAAAUAUGUAACCAAUUAUUAUCACAUAUUUACAACUUAUGCCACAAAACUCUAAUUAUGUCAAUAAAUAUUAUUACUUACCCUAAUUAUGAUUAGUAAUUAACCCCAUAUGGAAAAUUUCACCUUUCUUGUAUGGUAAAUAUUAGGAAUAUAUAUAUAUAUAUAUUAAUUUAACCAUGUUCAUAAACAAUUAUGGGCACAUUUUUCAUAUGAAAAAAAAAAUCCUUGUACAAUCAGUUAUUUUGCAUCAAAUAAUAUUGUUGGAUAAAAAACAAUAAAGAACCAAUUAAUAUUCUUUUAUGUUGUAGGUAAAUUAUUUUACCUAGAUUAUUACAUACGUUAGGCAUUUUUUGUUUGUUAUCAUAUAUGCUUGUUAAAAAUAAUUUAUCUAUAUUUGUAUGUAAAAUAUAAGUAAAUUAAUUUUGAAUCAAAUAACAUUUAUUUUGUAGGUAAAUUAAAAUAGUAGUUCCAUUAUUUUGGUAAAGUUAAACAGUGCCUAAAUUAUUUCGUAAGAAUUAAACCAAGACAAAUUAUCUCUACUAAAAUAAAACAGUAGAUAUUCGACAAAAAAUAAAUAAAAAAUAAAACUGUAGAUACAUUAUUUUCUUAUAAGAUUAAACAAUAGGUAAAUUAUAUUGUAGGUACAUUAUGUUUGUAAUAUAAAAAAAAGAAAUUGAAAUUUAUAAACAAAAAGUAGUAGAUAUAUUAUUUUUUAAUCAAAUUUCCUUUAUUUGUAG